Non-coding RNA from Vicugna pacos (alpaca), 5509 nucleotides. NCBI's taxonomy places the organism in Eukaryota, Metazoa, Chordata, Mammalia, Artiodactyla, Camelidae. The record is from RefSeq and is a predicted model, not a curated record.
UUUUUUUUUUUAAGAUCCCGUUUUAUUUUUCAAGAUAAAGUCAUGACAGCCCAUGUGGGAUUUUUUUGGUCAGUCUUCUGAAGCAUUCCUUUAUUCAGUAUCCAGUCAGUGCACAUUUACUGAGUUUGCUGUUCAUGCUCAAUAAAUGUGGUUUUCUGCUUUUAGUGGCUGGUCCUGCCAUCACGGGACCCCACAGGUGGAAUGGGUCGUCAUGGCCACAGAUAUCUCACAGGGAAAGUACCUUCCUCAGUUUUCCACCUUUUUUUUUAAACAUUUUUAGAACUAUUUAUAGUUUAUUAAUGAACUCAGAGCUGUCAACACCCCAAAUCUCAUUUGCUCAGACACCUAAACUGUGUGGAUUUUACUCUCACUGGGAUCUCCCCACAAGCAGUUCUCCACUUCUUAAGGGAAGAGACCAUGUGGGGAGUGGGUCUAGGAUUGUCUGGAAGAGCGACUGUGCAGGAGUGACUGGGUUCAGUGCUGCAUGUGGCCAGAUCUUCGUGCUGGCAGUGAGCUCUCCCCUUUUUUUCUCCUGGCUUUUGGACUUUGGUCUUUGCUAGAGAAGCUCUGAUGGCUUUGGCUUUGAGUAGAGCUUUUGGGCAAGGUGUUCCUCACUCCUUCCCGGUAGGGUUUCUGAGGCCACAUGAAAACAUCCUUCCCUUCUCCCAUCUUCUUGGCUGGUCUCUGGGAAGGAGGGAGGCCACUUGCAAGAGGAAGGAGUGGGCGUAACUCUCUCCAGGACAAGAACUGACCCUACUCACUGCCUGGUCUCUUAGGCCCUUAUCUCCUUUCAUGUUAGACCAGCAGAAGUGGGAAAGAAUGUAUUUCAUAAUAGACAGGAUUAAUCUGAUAAUUCCUUUAAAACUUUAAACUUCAUCUUUGGACAAGAAAAUAGAGAGCUGUGUGGGUGUUACAUGGUGAGGAGACUGUAAACCUUUUACUCUGCCUCAUGGGCUGAUCUUCAAAAAGCCCGUCAUCCAUUUUCACUUACUAGUAUGUGGAGCUCUCAAUUAAAAAUUUUUAAAGAGAAAGAUGGAAUGAAAUACCAUGUUGGUUUUUUAUGUAUGAAAUUCUAUGAUCGAAGAGUGAAAACUGUCAACUUAAAGAUGUUCCAGAAAAAGAAAUAGAAAUCUGAGGAGGCUGGUGUCUGUUUUGGCUGUCGUAUGGAUUCACUGGAUUGCCACUUUAAAUUUAAACUUCUUUUCUCGGUGAGAUAGUUACAACAUGCAGUCCUGAGUAUGAGGGGGAGAUAAACAAUGAGAGUGGGGUUUGGAAGGGGGAUGGAGAGGAUUAUGUUAACUCCCACUGAUUUCUCACAGCAGCCUGUAUUUAGUGCAUACAAAUAUCAAUUAUUAAGUGGUAAACAACAAUUUAAAAAAUGAACAGAUUAAGAGGAAUUAAUUAAACUGAUGUCUGCCUUUCCAUUCCUACAAUGCCAGUGCCUGUAGUCAGCCUCAACCUUUAUGACGUCGGCUCUGCCACCAGGCAGGUCCAGCGGCAGCCAGUGGGAGGGGCUACUGGCUACACCUUGUUACAAGAACCCAUCAACACCACAGAACUGACCAAACCCAAAGAGUUUGUCCAUCUGCAGGUGCGUGUGGGGCCGACAGUGAGUGGCGUGCAGAUGAGGGAGCUCUUUCCCAACACUGGAUAUGCAGUCAUGGUCCAGGACAUCCUGUGUGACCUCCCCAGCGAACCUGUCACCACAAGGGAGGGCACCUCAUACAGGUGGCUUUUCUUGAAAAGUGGCAGUGAUUGCACGUAGGACCCUUGCCUGGCCUGGUUUUGUUUCUUACUGAGGUUGGCAUGCUGGGAUGGAUUACACGGCUUAAAUGUUGAGAGUCUCAGCUCACACUUCUAAGGAAAUUAAGAUGUUGGAAAGAACCCUCAAGAGGGGAAGGGGAUGAGACAGAAGCAUGAUGAGACAGAAAAGAGGCACCCGCAAAGUACGACAGGAGACAUUCAUCAACAGCAAGUAAUCAUCUUGUGUAUGUUGGGUCCUGUCAGAAGCUGGUGGUUGGUGGGAAUGGAGUGGUGGCAGAUGGGAAGGGUGGGGAGCCAGCCAGGGGUGGUGACGUGUGCUGGGAGAAAAGUCCCAAGGGUCACGGUGGGAGGAGCGAUGAGUGAGGUUCUAGGUUGGGAUGUGGGGCUAGACUGCAGCAGCAGAGGACUGGAGGGCACGGAGAUGAGAACAUUGAAGGGAUGGAGGUGCAGAAACAUGGAGGUGGAGACAGAUUCAGGAAGAGAGACGGAGAGAGCUGAAAGGAGAGGCAAAGGAAAUUGGUAGACAGGCAGCUAGAAUGAGUGAGAUAUGUCUCAGAGCAAAAGAAAUUCUCCCAGAGGUGCAAAUUUCAAACUCCCAGUGGAAAUGUUAGGUCUCUUGAUUGUGGAGAUGGCUUCAUAGGUGCCCACACCUGUCAAAAUUCAUCAAAUUGUGCAUCAAAAGUAUGUGAGCUUACUGUACAGAAAUUAUACCACAAUAAAAUUGUUUAAAAAAUUAAAAAUAAAAUAACUCUUGAAAAAAAAAUUUCUUCAUUAGUUAUACUCCUCAAUCUUUUGAAGGUAAAGCUUUGUUUGACUUGGUGAAAAUUUAUCACUGAGACUUUCUUCUAACCGUUUUGGCUUCUGUGCUGAAUUUCAGCUCAUCUUCAUUCUUCACUCUUGGAACCAUCUGUUUUUCUUAUCAUAGUCUUAGGGGAGCGUAUUGCUGAUUUUGAUUUCUCUCUUAACUGCUUUAACUCUGAUAAACGUGAGCUACCCACUUACAGUGAAUUUUGCUUUAUUAUAGCUGAGCGGUAAGUAAGAACUUCCUUAAAUAGAGUAGAAGAAAUUUAACAUAGAGAAGUUAGAGUUGUAAUAAAAAUUUAAAUUUAUCCUAAUUUUAAAAAACCUUCUUAAGAAGAAUUCAUCUGUACCUGGUAGAAUCAUGGUACUUAUGUCAUCAUAACCAGUUUGUUACUCUGCUGCACACCUCGAAGUCUUCUCCAAACAACCUGUUGAAAGCUUGUGUGGAUGCUUUAGAGCUUUGUUUUGUGGUUGAGAACCGCAUCUGGACCUAAUUUGUCCUGCAUCUCCAGGGCCUUUGCCCAGUCCUUGAUACCUGAAUCCGAGAUGUGACUCACAGCACCAGGAAUGUCUUGUGGGAACCUGCCCUUGGAAAAGUGCAUAAAUAUAUUGUCUGCUACAAAAGACCAGAAGACGAUGUCAGAGAGGUGGAAGUGGACAGGUCAUGGGCUAACACGCCUCUUAAAGACCUCUUCUCACAGACCGUGUGCACGGUCGGCAUUUCUGCAGGGUGUGACAAGGGGGCUCCUCCAAGGACUGCUGAGGAAAAGCACCUGUGAGCUGUGGCUGUGCUUUAUUGAUCAUCGGGAAACAGCACCGUGUGCUCGUGUCACCAAACCUCCUUGGUUACUUCAUUUCUUGUUAUUUUUUGCCCGGGUUUAAUAAUGGUUGGGUUUCUAAACUGUUUUUUGCUUAUUUUCUUCUCAUCUUCUCUCUUUGUCCAUUCCUUUUAUGAUAAUUUCUCUCCUAUUAUUCUACCUGCCACAGUCACUGAUUCAUCUCCCAGAUACUUGACUGCUCUGUGUGUGUGCGUGUGUGUGUGUAGAGGGUGGGGAGACAGCGCUUUCUUGAUGAAUGUUGGACAUUGUCUCUAGAAACCAUGCAUUAGUUAGCAGAGUUUUGGAGAUCUUCCUAUACAUAAAGUGUUGUCAGGGUUGAGAAAAUCUAAGCGUCUUUGCCCUCAGUAGUUCGUGAUUUUGUUGCAGAGAUAAAAGGUAACAAUACCUGAGAUUAUGUAAGGAAGGUGAACUGUGUGGCUCUCAGAGGGAGGGCAGACUUCUGUAGUGGAAAGGUGAGGGAGAUGCUGGGCCCCUGCCUGGGCCCUGCCUUCCCUGCUCCACUCUGAGGCCACUUCGAGGAAGGGAUGUCCCUUUCUCCCUCUCAUGGUGCUUGCAUAGUAUUUAACCCAGUUAUCGUUGCCUGUUCUUUUUCUAUCUAUUCGACUUUUCCCUCCUAAGGAAGGCAGAGACAUGUCUAUUUUGCUCAAUUUGUGUCUCCAGUUUCUGGCUAGUGCUCAGCACGAUUCUCUAAUUCAAUAGUGGUUAAGAAAUUGAGUCUGGAACCAGUUAGUUCCCAAGAAAUAGGGGGCCACAGAGGUAACUCAGAAUUUUCUAGUAGCCAAUUAGAAAACGUAAAGAGAAAAAUGUAAUGAAUUUUAAUAAUGUGUCAUUGUAUUCUGUAUAUCAGCAUUUCAGCAUUUGUCAGUAUCAUAAUUAUUAAUGAGAUAUUUCAUGUCUUUUUGGUAAUAAUGUUUUUUGCAAUCCAGUGUGUAUUAAUUUACACCUACGGCACAUCUUAAUCCAGGUACCACAUUUCAAGUACUCAAUGGCUACGUGUGGCUGGUGGCUCCCAUGGUGGACAGCACGGGUCUAGAGAAUUUAAGUGACUUGCCCAGCCUCGCCCAGGAAGCUCAUGGUAGGAUCCGUGCUAUAGUCUGGAACUUUUCCUUCCUAUCCAGCAACUCCUUCAUGGAGGCUUAGAAGCUUUUCCUUUGGUGCCCAGCUGUCUAUCCAUGCUUAAGACAUCUUGUCAGUUCUCUCAGUCUACUCCUGAACAUCCAACAGUACCCGCUUCUGCUCUUUUCUGACCAGGUUAACACCUCUUAGCAACUUCUGUUGCCUUCUUGGCAUCGGUUCUUACCUGGAAUGGUAUUGGCUAGAGGUGGAAAUGUGUCCACAUGAGCAGACUGACAGAUUUUUCAUAAACAUAACAGGAGUGGUCAAGAGAAGACAAAGUCAGGAAGACGUACCAGUGGAAGCAGGUCAUCUAAUACACCAAAUGGAUGCUUUGAAUGUAUGUUUGUAAUCCUUAAGAUUUCCUAAGAACGUUUAGAUAUAUCCGAAGUGCAUUCUAACGGUUGGUUUGUUUUGCAGUUGUGCUUGUGAAAGUGGUACCAGUCUCUUGAUCUCAGUGGGCCUUUUCAUUGUAAUGAUUAGAAACAAAUUUUUUGAUGGCUCUGGGUUUUGUGUAUUUGGCUUUGGUUAUCAGGAGGUAGAGAAAUAAUUGACAAUGGAAGCUCCGAACUGGUGGCAGACAUUCCAGAUGGCUUGAGCUGCAAACUAACUAGACUGCUGGUCAGUAGCAGUGCUCUUAAUUGGGAUUUCAGGGCUAUUCCUGUCUCCGGAUAGAGUCAGCGCAGUCAGCUGCACGUUGUGUUUAAGGGACUCUGCCAGCCCCAACAAACCUGCAGAUACCCAAGUAACACCAGAGAGUUCCAGAGGGACUUGGGAUCACGGAGCUUCUGACGUGUCUCUCUACAGAAUCCCCUGGGCCCCUUCUGGAAGCUCAGAUAAAAUGGAGGACCAUACAGUGGACUGAGGAAUCGGAGUGUCUUUGGGGAGACAACCAGCAGCCUCUCUCCAUAGCCUGGCAUCAUGCUGAUGGGCCAGUUCAGCAAUAGAGGAUCAUUUUUUCUCCCACCGUUGGUGACCCAGUCGAUGAAAAC